RNAcentral lists this long non-coding RNA (333 nucleotides) under Crocodylus porosus (Australian saltwater crocodile). RNAcentral's name for it is "lncRNA (ENSCPRG00005005718.1)". The record is from RNAcentral. Lineage: Eukaryota; Metazoa; Chordata; Crocodylia; Crocodylidae.
GGUGAAGGUCAGCGGAUAUGUCGGUGCAGGUGAAACCCCAUCUACCCAUCGGGACCCAGCUGGAAGCUUCCGCUGCCGGUUUAAACCAUGACAUACCCCUGUGUGAAAUGGAGGGGUUCCUCUUUUGCUCCUGUUUUAAAUAUUUCCUAACGUCCCCACUGUGGAGAGAGCAGGACCGCGAGGCCCUCCUGGACCGAAAGGACUCCCUGGACCACCUGGCAAAGACGGCAUCGAUGGAGAAGCUGGCCCACCUGGUUUGCCUGGUCCAACAGGACCUAAAGGUGCACCAGGGAAGCCUGGAAAGCGUGGAGAUGCUGGGUUACCUGGCCUUCC